GCCAUGCCGCGUGUGUGAAGAAGGCCUUUUGGUUGUAAAGCACUUUAAGCGAGGAGGAGGCUUACCUAGUUAAUACCUGGGAUAAGUGGACGUUACUCGCAGAAUAAGCACCGGCUAACUCUGUGCCAGCAGCCGCGGUAAUACAGAGGGUGCGAGCGUUAAUCGGAUUUACUGGGCGUAAAGCGUGCGUAGGCGGCUUUUUAAGUCGGAUGUGAAAUCCCCGAGCUUAACUUGGGAAUUGCAUUCGAUACUGGGAAGCUAGAGUAUGGGAGAGGAUGGUAGAAUUCCAGGUGUAGCGGUGAAAUGCGUAGAGAUCUGGAGGAAUACCGAUGGCGAAGGCAGCCAUCUGGCCUAAUACUGACGCUGAGGUACGAAAGCAUGGGGAGCAAACAGGAUUAGAUACCCUGGUAGUCCAUGCCGUAAACGAUGUCUACUAGCCGUUGGGGCCUUUGAGGCUUUAGUGGCGCAGCUAACGCGAUAAGUAGACCGCCUGGGGAG
Molecule: ribosomal RNA, 498 nt
Filed under: uncultured bacterium
Lineage: Bacteria
Description: bacterial SSU rRNA
Rfam family: Bacterial small subunit ribosomal RNA
Source: RNAcentral